AACGAACGCUGGCGGCAUGCCUAACACAUGCAAGUCGAACGAGACCUUCGGGUCUAGUGGCGCACGGGUGCGUAACGCGUGGGAACCUGCCCUUAGGUUCGGAAUAACUCCCCGAAAGGGGUGCUAAUACCGGAUAAUGUCUUCGGACCAAAGAUUUAUCGCCUUUGGAUGGGCCCGCGUUGGAUUAGCUAGUUGGUAGGGUAAAAGCCUACCAAGGCGACGAUCCAUAGCUGGUCUGAGAGGAUGAUCAGCCACACUGGGGCUGAGACACGGCCCAGACUCCUACGCGAGGCAGCAGUGGGGAAUAUUGGACAAUGGGCGAAAGCCUGAUCCAGCAAUGCCGCGUGAGUGAUGAAGGCCUUAGGGUUGUAAAGCUCUUUUACCCGGGAUGAUAAUGACAGUACCGGGAGAAUAAGCUCCGGCUAACUCCGUG
This 433-nucleotide ribosomal RNA is filed under the name uncultured bacterium. RNAcentral describes it as "partial 16S ribosomal RNA". It matches the Rfam family "Bacterial small subunit ribosomal RNA", at positions 29 to 507 of the family's 1533-position model. The record is from RNAcentral.